This 245-nucleotide ribosomal RNA is filed under the name uncultured bacterium. RNAcentral describes it as "partial 16S ribosomal RNA". It matches the Rfam family "Bacterial small subunit ribosomal RNA", at positions 524 to 768 of the family's 1533-position model. The record is from RNAcentral.
UACGGAGGGUGCAAACGUUGCUCGGAAUCAUUGGGCGUAAAGCGCGUGUAGGCGGCUCGUUAAGUUGAGUGUGAAAGCCCUGGGCUUAACCCAGGAAGUGCGCUCAAAACUGGCGAGCUAGAGUACGGGAGAGGGCAGUGGAAUUCCCGGUGUAGAGGUGAAAUUCGUAGAUAUCGGGAGGAACACCAGUGGCGAAGGCGGCUGCCUGGACCGAUACUGACGCUGAGACGCGAAAGCGUGGGUAG